Molecule: ribosomal RNA, 253 nt
Filed under: uncultured bacterium
Lineage: Bacteria
Description: partial 16S ribosomal RNA
Rfam family: Bacterial small subunit ribosomal RNA
Source: RNAcentral
UACGGGGGGCUCAAGCGUUGUUCGGAUUCAUUGGGCGUAAAGGGCGCGUAGGCGGCUUGGCAAGUCCGUCAUGAAAUGUACCGGUUCAACCGGGGCACUGUGUCGGAAACUGCCUGGCUUGAGGUCGAGGAAGGAGAGUGGAAUUCCUGGUGUAGCGGUGAAAUGCGUAGAUAUCAGGAGGAACACCCGUGGCGAAGGCGGCUCUCUAGCUCGAUUCUGACGCUGAGGCGCGAAAGCUAGGGGAGCAAACGGG